This 3474-nucleotide long non-coding RNA is filed under the name Phasianus colchicus (ring-necked pheasant). RNAcentral describes it as "lncRNA (ENSPCLG00000009637.1)". Lineage: Eukaryota; Metazoa; Chordata; Aves; Galliformes; Phasianidae. The record is from RNAcentral.
AAACAAACACUUCUGAAACCCCGUAUAGUUUUGCUAAUUGUAGAAUCAUACUUACACACCUUUUGGUUUUUCAUUAGGCUGAAAUCUGUGAGUGUUCCCAGGGACACAUCAUCCUGCAGGUCCCAAUCAGGUUCAAAUCCCCCCUUUUGACCCUGCUGCAGGUUGUUAUUUCUUUGUGUGGUAUAUGUGAUACAUGGACCAGAUAUGGUGUAUGACUGUCUGUCUCAUCUGAAUUACUGUGAAGUAAAAGGGAAGGAAGAGGCACUUUUUGUAAUGAAUUAUUUCACUGUGUGGAGAACUUGGUGUAGCACAGUGGUACAAACACUCUAGGACUUAAUGCAAAAACCUGAGGCUGGAAAAGGAAGCAAACAUCUCAAAGAAAGAAAGAAUUGAAAGUACUGAAGGAGAAAACUGCACAGUUCCUGUGAGCUUUUAUUUUGGAAGUAUACAGCUUCUUGAGCAAGCAAAAGAGAAGAGAAAAUGGUUUUAAAAGAUUUGGCAUGCAUCAAGUUGUUUGAAAUCACUCUACUACAAAAACAUUGUUUUCUUCCCUCACCGUUUUGUAGAGAUUUCAUGGCAUUUCAUUCACAGAUCCGUUGGAGUAGCUGUAAUUUCAUUCUCUGAUUUAAUACACCUUAGACAUGUGGUGAGAAAGGUGGUUUUUUGACUUUGAAGAAACAUCGUGGCAACAGACAAGCUCGUAUUUGGAAAUGGGAUCACUUUCUCAGUUAAAUCAAAAAGACAAGAAGAUUCUACACCAGAAGUCAUUGCACUUAAAUCAAAGGAAUGCAAACAAUAUGGCAAUGUAUCGAACGUAGCUUGUUUGGCAAGAACGUUGUACAAGAGCAUCAAUCUCGAUGGGCCCAAGGGUGUCAUUGCUUAUGAUCUGAAGGAACCUAUUCUCACAUCAGAGGGGAUGUACAGUACCUUGAAAGUAGUUGGCAUAAAACCAGACACAGAAGGAACCUGCAAAGCUGUGCACAAGGGGAACAAGACUGUAGCGAGCACAAUCCUGACAGGUACAAACGCAAACUGAUUCUGUUAGGUGACUCUUCCAAAACACUUUCUUGUUCUUUGAGAACUUAGCAGCAACAAGUUAAGUACAGUCAGAAAGAUGUUUAGGUGCUUAGUUAGGUGGAAAUCAGAUAUUCAGAAGAACCUAGUGUAAAUUAUCUUAAUUCAGCUUUAUAAGCACCUAGAGUUUUCGUCUCAAAACACAGAGGAAAAACAACUAACCAAACAACAAGAGCAACAACAAAAAACACCAAGCAGAAGCCAAAACCAAAUCUGGGUGUCUACUUUUAUCUACGGCAAAAUAGUUCAAGUCAUGAGUAUAUGUAUAACAGUAGAAAGUCUGAAAUAACUUAUGAAAACAAAAAGAAGUAAGAAGUUUGAUUUUUUGCUCUAAAUCUUUAGUUUAUUUUUAUUUUUUAUUUUUCUUAUGUGCAUUUGUGUGUAAAGUGCAUUUCAAAAAGGAGACAAAAUUCUCAACAAUCUUGCAGAUUUUUCUAGCAAUCACAUGUAAACAGCUAGUAUUUCUCUUCAUAUUAAUUUCAGAAUUAAUGACCUGCCUUUCGUCUGGUACUCUAAUUCUACUGCUGGGAAAUGGUAUAGGUGUGCUUUGAGUAAUUCUUGUUCAUCUGGUUUAGAAACAGUUUAUAGUGUCUCUCAAUCAUUCAACAGAAGGGAAAGAUGAAGAACUGGCAGCAGAGAAUGCUUGCAACUUUACAGACACCUUUAAAAAAGGUUAGUUACUUCAAACAGUAAUAUUGUCAAUGGGAGUGUCAACUUUACUGGGGAUUCAGUAGUAACAUAUGAAAAUGGUACAGAAAUGUCUGAAUUGUAGAUACUGGUUAAGCAAGAAGUUUCACUCGUUGUGGAUUCCAUAAAGAGACAUGAAAAAAAUGCUUCUUCUGGUGCAAAAAUGUCAGAUUACUUUACUGAGGAAUAACAUGCCAUUUCAAGUUAACAGGUUGAUAGAUGACAAAUUUCAAUGGGGAUAAAUCAACAAUGGGGAUUAAACUCUUUACCAGGCAGGCAUCUCCUCCACUUGUCUCUGAAUACAUUCCUUUGCCAUCUUUCCCUGUGUUCAUGUUUCCCCCUUUCAUCUAUGAUGUGUGAAUUUUCAUUUAUUUAUUUAUUUGGGUAAUGUAAGACCUCAAUCCGCAAUUGCUUCCAUCUUUUUUUUUUUUUUUUUCUUUUUUUUCUUUUUUUUUUUUUUUCAAGAUGACAAAAUGGAGAAAAUGAACAUGCUGUUCAUGGUUGUUUUGGGUUUGAGGGUCCUGCUGGCAAAAUGCAUCGCCUUCAACAUGCUCAUGAGUAUCUGUUCAUAUUCUGAGGUAGGAAAUACGAUCAUUCUGUCCUUGGGAGCAUAGGAGUCAGGUAAAGAAAGUGCAGACCAGUUGGCUUUGCAUCCUUUUGUAAACCCACAACAAGUUAUAUUUGCUUUUCCAUCUUCCACUGAACUAUUCGAUGUUUCCAGUUACUGAUUAAUUGGCUGCUUAUCAAGCAGCUAAUAGAUCAAGCUAGUCCCGAGUAUCUCAGAUUCUAUCAGUGGUAGAGCACGAAUUCUGGAGAAAAGUCCAGAUCAGCAUGGACUGUAAGGGAGUAAUCCUCAAACACAACAAAAAUGGGAAGGAAAACAAGGGAGGGAGAAUUGUGAAGAACAGGUAUCCAAAAUGACCAAAAAGAUUAUCCCAUCCAUUCCAAAUUAACGAAUCUCAUUACACAAAUAUUUCUCUUUCAGGUACUCGAUAAGUGAGCCAGCAGUGGGCUGAAGAAGAGAAGGAGAUAAUAGAUUGAAGUAUAACUUAAACUCUAUGGUUCAACUUUGCUGAUAAUAACCAUCUGAAGAAACAAGGAAGCAACCCCCCAUUCCCAGUUCCUGUAGAUUUGAUUAAGUCCCAUCACUUCAACAAGGUGUUCUUCAGUUAACAUCAUCUGAAAGCUAUCUUAGACUGUUAAUACUGCUGAACUCUUGCUUUUUUUUGGUUCCAUUAAUUGUCAAAACAACAAUUUGUUAUUUCUUAUUCCCAUAUGAAUUUUCCUUCAUCCUUAUGCUAAGCAUGAAUACUUUAUUUUCUCACAUCUCUUACUUUGCCCACUGCAUUUAAGUAUCCAAAUAUCCUAGUUUUGAAAGUGUUAAAACUGAGCUUACUUACUUACUAUGCUUUAAAAAUAAUAUCUCUAGUCAUAUUGCAUUACUGUCUACAGAAUCAAUGCCAUACUGCUUAGGGAUCCGUAAGCAUUGAGGAAAUAUUGUAUGGACUAAUUUUUAAAGACUUAACUAGUGGUAAUUUUCUAGAGUACAUAAACUCUAUUGAUCUCUACUGGACCUGAAAGAACUCACUCUAGUCAGAUUUAUAGUAGGACUUUCAUUUUUUUCUCUACUUCAGAACAUUUUUCUCUUCGUUAAAUAUGAAGACCCUGCAUUUUAGGUUUCCUUAAUAAAGGUCAAAAUAAAGUUUUAUUACA